CCAGGGACAGAUCUCCACCCUCGCUCCGGCUGGAGAUCUGAAACCCCUUCAGGUACGUCCUCGAAUCCACAGGCGCCGAGGUGUGUGUCACAUUGGGCUCCACGUGACCUGGGCGGUCCCACACUCGUGUCCAUCACCUGUGAAGUGGGGGCAGCUGGAAGCCGGGAACACUGCCCCGGGGCUGGACUGGAUUUCCCUAAAGAGGCUGGUGUUCCGGCAGCAGCAUGAGACAAGGACACAUGCACUCAUCUCUCCUGGUGACCAUGAGAGGCUGACUCCAGAUUUGGAUCCUGUCUGGUGUGGUCAGUGUGCAGCACUUGGGGGCAAAGCAGCCAGGAACCAGGAAGAGGCUGCAGCUUUGCUGAGGUUCGUGUCUCAUACGGGUGAGAGCUCUCUCUCUCAAGGUCUCACACCAGGUUGAAACUGCUCAUCAAGAUAAUAGCAGUCCUUUCAAGUCUGCGUGGCUCCUACAGUACAGACUCUGGGUUGAAUUUUUACUGUAAGACGACUGCAAUUUAGGCCUAUUGGUUUCUCCUGAGCUGUUGACAGUGAGAACUUAUAUGAUAGAUGUUCAGCAUUGACCCUCCUUCCAAAGCCACUUGGACAUUCCCUUACCUCUGAAUCCAAUCAGAACAGCUUAAGUUCUGAUUUCAUAGUCGAGUCUUUGGGGGAG
Molecule: long non-coding RNA, 673 nt
Filed under: Bos indicus x Bos taurus (hybrid cattle)
Lineage: Eukaryota; Metazoa; Chordata; Mammalia; Artiodactyla; Bovidae
Description: lncRNA (ENSBIXG00005018934.1)
Source: RNAcentral